Molecule: ribosomal RNA, 630 nt
Filed under: fungal sp. 2-12p
Lineage: Eukaryota; Fungi
Description: eukaryotic LSU rRNA
Rfam family: 5.8S ribosomal RNA (bases 217-371)
Source: RNAcentral
UUCAUCGAGGCCCGACCUCCCAACCCUGUGUUUACCCAACCGACCAACGUUGCUUCGGCGGACCGGCUCUCGACUUGCCCGUGCCUUUACCGGUGCGAGCGAGGGGGAACCGCCGGGACGGUCACACGUCCUGGAGCGUCGUCCGCCGACGGCCGACCACACAAACUCUUGUUGUAACAUGUCGUCUGAAUUUGAUUUGUAGAAAUACAAGCACAAAACUUUCAACAACGGAUCUCUUGGUUCUGGCAUCGAUGAAGAACGCAGCGAAAUGCGAUAAGUAAUGCGAAUUGCAGAAUUUCCGUGAGUCAUCGAAUCUUUGAACGCACAUUGCGCCCUUUGGUAUUCCGAAGGGCAUGCCUGUUCGAGCGUCAUUAUCCCCCCUCAAACCUCGGGUUUGGUGUUGGACCAAGUCAGCGAGCGACCAACCGGUCGUGAGCCGACCGGUCUCAAAGACAAUGACGGCGUCCGUGGGAGCCCCGGUACAAUGAGCUUGUCACGAGCACGUACCGCGUCUGGCGCACCGCGGACCCGGUCGACCGUCUACCCCUUGUGGGCAGACACUCUUUCAAGGUUGACCUCGGAUCAGGUAGGAAUACCCGCUGAACUUAAGCAUAUCAAUAAGCGGAGGAA